This 700-nucleotide long non-coding RNA is filed under the name Marmota monax (woodchuck). The record is from RNAcentral. Lineage: Eukaryota; Metazoa; Chordata; Mammalia; Rodentia; Sciuridae.
UAAUGUUGUUGGGGAUUAUAUUCAGGUUCUCAUUCAUAUUAAACACACACUUUACCACUGAGCUACACUCCCAGAGUCCAAUUUUUUUUUUUUUAAUGAAACAAUGUACAAUAGGACUUAGGCAUGUGUGAUUUAUGGUGGUUUGUUCUAAAGCCUGAAGAAAAUUGCUGAAAAACCAGCAGGCUAUUUAAGUACGAAAUGAGUAUCCGUACAUGGAUAAGUUACAUGUUGGCAGAUCUUUAGUAUACUUGUUCACAAAUGCCUCAAGCCUCCUACAAAGACAUUUACAUUAGGCUGUUCAGUAUAAUUUUAAUUUAGGAUGGAUUUUUAAAGCAUUGUACUAGGAUUGGAUUUUGCCAUUGUGUUUUGACCAACGUUCUUGAUGCUUACCUCAUGAUUUUUCUCAUGUGACUUAACUGCUGUUUUUAAGGAGAGCUGAGACAUUUAUUAGAAAUUCCUACUUUCUAGCUUUUAGUGACAGUCUGGAUAUUUAAGGUAUAGUGUUAAAUAGGGAACUUUAAGUAUUUUAGCCUAGUUUCUUGUGGUUUUGUGAUUUUGUUGUAUUUAAUAACCAAAGGAAUGUUCCCCAUCAAAUAAGUAAGUAAAGUUUUCUAACUGGGGAAAAGGCAUUUUUGGUUUUUUUAAGAAAAAUUAUUAUUUAAAAAAAUGACUUAGGAAUUAACUAUACGUUAGGUAUUUU